ACAGUAAUGCCAUAAAAUUUCAUUUAACCUAAAAUAUCUAUUCUAAAUAAAUAUAAGUGUCUAUAAGUGUGUGUAUAUAUAUAUAUAUAUAUAUAUAUAUAUAUUAUACGAUUCUCUGGAGAACAUUAUUCUGACUGCUCAGAUAUUCUGCUCAACUUGUGUUAAUCUCUCAAAUGAACUUUCCCUGUGCAUUUAUUUAUUUAGCAAAAUUAACAAAAUAAAACAAUCAGGUAAUCAGGACUCUGGCACAAAGCAGACAAUAAAAAGGAUUUAUAACCAAAUCUCUCAGUUACGUUUUUUUGUUUGGAGAACAGAAGAAGGAGAGUUUUCCAGUCUGGUGCAGAUAAAGACCAGGCUCAACAAAACCAGCCAGCAUAAAACAAAUAUAACUAAGCGACCAAGCAAUCUGAAUAUUCUGCAGUGUCGCAAUAGAGUGCAAUCCAGUUAUAGUAAAUGGAGCAUAUGUGAUGACCAACCUAUAGCAGUAGUUACUCGGAUUAAAUGAAAUGCUCUUCUCUUCAUGUGGUUUUCCUCCUCUCUCUCUCUCCCUCUCUCUCCUGGUCCUGACUGCUUCAGAGCUCCGAGAACAGCCACAAGACAAAACAACUGGAUGAAGAGAGCUCUAAGAACAGCCACAAGACAAAAGAGCUGGAUAGAGAAGAAAAGGAGGAACUGCAGUGUAAAGGACCAUGUGUGUGCAACAGUAUUGAGCGCCAUUAAAAUGAACAUGGUGUACAAACAGGAGCCAAGAGUGAGUAUCCAAACCACAAUGCAGCAGAUAACUCUAUAUCUGAGAGGUUUGUACUUCAGAAAGGUUACAGGAUGAACCACUGCCAGGUAACGCUCAACACACAUCAGACACAAAAACAGAGAACGACCAGUGAUGCCUUGCCCUUGGAUAAAAUUUGACACUAUCUUGAGAUUUGGAAACCAAAUUGCCAUUGUAUCUAAGAAACAGAAUAUACAGAUUCCAAUCUCACAAACAGACAAAUUGAGGUUGAAGAACUCUAAUGCAACUCCACUUCCUGCUCCUGUGAUGAUGAGCCAUAUAACAUAGCAGUGUGUUGGCAUACCAAACAGGAAAGUAAAGCUGCACAGAAACAAUUGUAGACUGUCUGUUAGCCCAAUGGAUUGAGUUGUGGGAUUUGCAGACGCUGCAAGUGUGAUGAAAGUCAC
Long non-coding RNA from Cyprinus carpio carpio, 1176 nucleotides. The record is from Ensembl. NCBI's taxonomy places the organism in Eukaryota, Metazoa, Chordata, Actinopteri, Cypriniformes, Cyprinidae.